RNAcentral lists this transfer RNA (69 nucleotides) under Bos taurus (domestic cattle). It matches the Rfam family "tRNA". Rfam says of the family: Transfer RNA (tRNA) molecules are approximately 80 nucleotides in length. Their secondary structure includes four short double-helical elements and three loops (D, anti-codon, and T loops). The record is from Rfam by way of RNAcentral. RNAcentral also lists the same sequence under 2 other names. Lineage: Eukaryota; Metazoa; Chordata; Mammalia; Artiodactyla; Bovidae.
UCUGGUGGCUUAGAUGGUAAAGAAUCUGCCUGCAAUGCGGGAGACCCAGGUUCAAUCCCUGGGUCAGAA